This 425-nucleotide ribosomal RNA is filed under the name uncultured bacterium. Its description in RNAcentral is "partial 16S ribosomal RNA". It matches the Rfam family "Bacterial small subunit ribosomal RNA", at positions 354 to 796 of the family's 1533-position model. The record is from RNAcentral.
GUUAGGAAUAUUGGACAAUGGGCGCAAGCCUGAUCCAGCCAUGCCGCGUGAGUGAUGAAGGCCUUCGGGUUGUAAAGCUCUUUAGUCCACGAAUAUAAUGACUGUAGUGGAAGAAUAAGCCCCGGCUAACUUCGUGCGAGCAGCCGCGGUAAUACGAAGGGGGCGAGCGUUAUUCGGAAUCACUGGGCGUAAAGCGUGCGUAGGCUGUUUUGUAAGUCAGAAGUGAAAGCCCAGGGCUUAACCCUGGAAUUGCUUUUGAAACUACAAGACUCGAAUUCGGGAGAGGAUAGCGGAAUUGUCAGUGUAGCAGUGAAAUGCGUAGAUAUUGACAGGAACACCAGUGGCGCAAGCGGCUAUCUGGACCGAUAUUGACGCUGAGGCACGAAAGCGUGGGGAGCAAACAGGAUUAGAAACCCCGGUAGUCC